Molecule: transfer RNA, 55 nt
Filed under: Histiostomatidae sp. XFX
Lineage: Eukaryota; Metazoa; Arthropoda; Arachnida; Sarcoptiformes; Histiostomatidae
Description: tRNA-His
Source: RNAcentral
GACUGGUUAGUUUAUAAAAAAUAACAAUUUGUGGUAUUGUAGAAUUUUCUAGUCA